RNAcentral lists this ribosomal RNA (423 nucleotides) under uncultured bacterium. RNAcentral describes it as "partial 16S ribosomal RNA". It matches the Rfam family "Bacterial small subunit ribosomal RNA", at positions 360 to 775 of the family's 1533-position model. The record is from RNAcentral.
AAUUUUGGACAAUGGGGGAAACCCUGAUCCAGCCAUCCCGCGUGUGUGAUGAAGGCCUUCGGGUUGUAAAGUACUUUUGGCAGAGAAGAAAAGGUAUCGCCUAAUACGAGAUACGGCUGACGGUAUCUGCAUAAGAAGCACCGGCUAACUACGUGCCAGCAGCCGCGGUAAUACGUAGGGUGCAAGCGUUAAUCGGAAUUACUGGUCGUAAAGCGUGUGUCGGGGGUUCGGAAAAAAAGAUGUGAAAUCCCAGGGCUCAACCUUGGAAAAGCAUUUUUAACUGCCGAGCUAGAGUAUGUCAGAGGGGGGUAGAAUUCCACGUGUAGCAGUGAAAUGCGUAGAUAUAUGGAGGAAUACCGAUGGCGAAGGCGGCCCCCUGGGAUAAUACUGACGCUCAGACACGAAAGCGUGGGGAGCAAACAG